UACGUAGGGUGCGAGCGUUAAUCGGAAUUACUGGGCGUAAAGCGUGCGCAGGCGGUUCGUUGUGUCGGUGGUGAAAGCCCCGGGCUUAACCUGGGAAUGGCCAUGGAAACUGGCGAACUGGAGUGUGGCAGAGGGGGGUGGAAUUCCGCGUGUAGCAGUGAAGUGCGUAGAGAUGCGGAGGAACACCGAUGGCGAAGGCAGCCCCCUGGGCUAACACUGACGCUCAGGCACGAAAGCGUGGGGAGCAAACAGG
This 253-nucleotide ribosomal RNA is filed under the name uncultured bacterium. Its description in RNAcentral is "partial 16S ribosomal RNA". It matches the Rfam family "Bacterial small subunit ribosomal RNA", at positions 524 to 776 of the family's 1533-position model. The record is from RNAcentral.